This 468-nucleotide ribosomal RNA is filed under the name uncultured bacterium. RNAcentral's name for it is "partial 16S ribosomal RNA". It matches the Rfam family "Bacterial small subunit ribosomal RNA", at positions 28 to 507 of the family's 1533-position model. The record is from RNAcentral.
GACGAACGCUGGCGGCGUGCUUAAUACAUGCAAGUCGAACGGAAAGGCCCUGCUUUUGUGGGGUGCUCGAGUGGCGAACGGGUGAGUAACACGCGAGUAACCUGCCCUUGACUUUGGGAUAACUUCAGGAAACUGGGGCUAAUACCGGAUAGGAGCUCCUGCUGCAUGGGGGGGGUUGGAAAGUUUCGGCGGUUGGGGAUGGACUCGCGGCUUAUCAGCUUGUUGGUGGGGUAGUGGCUUACCAAGGCUUUGACGGGUGGCCGGCCUGAGAGGGUGACCGGCCACAUUGGGACUGAGAUACGGCCCAGACUCCUACGGGAGGCAGCAGUGGGGAAUAUUGCACAAUGGGCGGAAGCCUGAUGCAGCAACGCCGCGUGCGGGAUGACGGCCUUCGGGUUGUAAACCGCUUUCGCCUGUGACGAAGCGUGAGUGACGGUAAUGGGUAAAGAAGCACCGGCUAACUACGUG